AUUGAACGCUGGCGGAAUGCUUUACACAUGCAAGUCGAACGGUAGAGGGGGCAACCCCUCGAGAGUGGCGAACGGGUGAGUAAUAUAUCGGAACGUGCCCAGUCGUGGGGGAUAACGUAGCGAAAGUUAAGCUAAUACCGCAUACGAUCUAAGGAUGAAAGCGGGGGAUCGCAAGACCUCGCGCGAUUGGAUCGGCCGAUAUCAGAUUAGGUAGUUGGUGGGGUAAAGGCGCACCAAGCCAACGAUCGGUAGCUGGUCUGAGAGGACGACCAGCCACACUGGAACUGGGACACGGUCCAGACUCCUACGGGAGGCAGCAGUGGGUAAUUUUGGACAAUGGACGCAAGUCUGAUCCAGCCAUUCCGCGUGCAGGAUGAAGGCCCUCGGGUUGUAAACUGCUUUUGUACGGAACGAAAAGGUCUCUCUUAAUACGGGGGACUCAUGACGGUACCGUGAGAAUAAGCACCGGCUAACUACGUGCCAGCAGUCGCCGUAA
This 496-nucleotide ribosomal RNA is filed under the name uncultured bacterium. RNAcentral's name for it is "partial 16S ribosomal RNA". It matches the Rfam family "Bacterial small subunit ribosomal RNA", at positions 30 to 523 of the family's 1533-position model. The record is from RNAcentral.